UAAAAUUGCUUCCAGGUUCAACCAAUACUGAUGUUUAUUAAAGUAAGGAAAUCGAAUGAAAAAGGGUCCUGAUGAAGGUAAAUCCAGAAAAGCGCUUCGGACGCAAUAACUUAUUAAACGUGUUGUUUUCCAUUUUUUUUUAGCCAUUUAAAUGAGAGGAAAAAAUCUGUGGGGGCUGUGCCCCAACCCCCUCUUUUAGGGGCCUCAUUCGGGGGCCCUCAAACCCCUGCCUCCCCUGAAUUCGAACCCUAGUUACGGCCC
RNAcentral lists this long non-coding RNA (261 nucleotides) under Mytilus galloprovincialis (Mediterranean mussel). The record is from RNAcentral. Lineage: Eukaryota; Metazoa; Mollusca; Bivalvia; Mytilida; Mytilidae.